GUGGGGAAUCUUGCGCAAUGGGCGAAAGCCUGACGCAGCCAUGCCGCGUGAAUGAUGAAGGUCUUAGGAUUGUAAAAUUCUUUCACCGGGGACGAUAAUGACGGUACCCGGAGAAGAAGCUCCGGCUAACUUCGUGCCAGCAGCCGCGGUAAUACGAAGGGGGCUAGCGUUGCUCGGAAUUACUGGGCGUAAAGGGCGCGUAGGCGGACAGCUUAGUCAGAGGUGAAAGCCCAGGGCUCAACCUCGGAACUGCCUUUGAUACUGGGUGUCUUGAGUAUGAGAGAGGUGUGUGGAACUCCGAGUGUAGAGGUGAAAUUCGUAGAUAUUCGGAAGAACACCAGUGGCGAAGGCGACACACUGGCUCAUUACUGACGCUGAGGCGCGAAAGCGUGGGGAGCAAACAGGAUUAGAUACCCUUGUAGUCC
Molecule: ribosomal RNA, 425 nt
Filed under: uncultured bacterium
Lineage: Bacteria
Description: partial 16S ribosomal RNA
Rfam family: Bacterial small subunit ribosomal RNA
Source: RNAcentral